This 255-nucleotide ribosomal RNA is filed under the name uncultured bacterium. RNAcentral's name for it is "partial 16S ribosomal RNA". It matches the Rfam family "Bacterial small subunit ribosomal RNA", at positions 524 to 776 of the family's 1533-position model. The record is from RNAcentral.
UACGUAGGGCGCAAGCGUUGUCCGGAAUUAUUGGGCGUAAAGAGCUCGUAGGCGGUUUGUCGCGUCUGCUGUGAAAACGCGAGGCUUAACCUCGCGCCUGCAGUGGGUACGGGCAGACUAGAGUGCGGUAGGGGGAGACUGGAAUUCCUGGUGUAGCGGUGGAAUGCGCAGAUAUCAGGAGGAACACCGGUGGCGAAGGCGAGUCUCUGGGCAGUAACUGACGCUGAGGAGCGAAAGCGUGGGGGAGCGAACAGG